Molecule: long non-coding RNA, 804 nt
Filed under: Homo sapiens (human)
Lineage: Eukaryota; Metazoa; Chordata; Mammalia; Primates; Hominidae
Description: non-protein coding SEC24B-AS1:8
Source: RNAcentral
GAGGAAGGAACGCGCCUGGCGUCACUGAGGGUGUCACCCGGGACCGCGGCUCAGGAACCCCAGACGCACGGGCCUUGUGCUGUCGCUGCCGUGGCACCCCUUCUAGAAGUCGUGAAGGGGCCUCGUGACUGGGCCUCAUGCCAAACAACUCAUUACAAAAGGAGCUAUGGUCCCAGACCACAACGAAGCUUCAUGAGACCUCUCCUCAUCUGUGCACGGACAAGUGUCUGACUCUGGAGCCCAGGCUGUUGCUUUCCAGUCUGGUGGUGAAUCCUUCACAGUCUGGAUUGAGAUGUUGGAAGCUUUAGAAUGUUGAUUAUGAUGAUACCCAAGACUCAAGUUUAAGAAGGAAAGGAAGCAAUAAGAUCAUGCCUGCUAUUAGUAUAGUCGUCACAGUUAUUGUGUAAAGAAAAUCUAGGUAUCUUGCACCAAGAAGUGGAAAAUAAAGAAGAGAAAUGAGAACCAUGUUUGUAUUGGCUGUCUAUAAAAUAAGAGUUCUAGGUACAUGAAAUCCACUGGUGUGCUGGUAAAUGUUUAAUAACCAGUCCUCUGGAAAGGAGAAAGUUGAAGACCCCAUUUAUACAUUUGCUCAUUUCUGUGGUGUAAAUACCCUGAAAAUAGCUGAUUUCGAGCUAUCAACAUUACUGAAGAUGGAGCUGGGAAGAGGGAGAAGUUAAGUGAAGUUUUCCAACCCACAGCUGUUUUGGCUGAGGCUCCAAAGACUGAGAAUAAAUCAGUAUCUGCCCAGUCACCACGGUGUGCCAAAGGAGGUGCUGGAUUGCCUCGUCAGGACAUGCUACAUGG